AUUACAACCUUUCAGAAAUAUCCGAUAAAGUUAGAACAAUACAAAGAAGAUUAGCAUGGCCUUUACUCAAAGAUGACAUAUACAAAUUGAGAAAUGAUUCAAAAAUAU
Non-coding RNA from Solanum tuberosum (potato), 108 nucleotides. The record is from Rfam. Lineage: Eukaryota; Viridiplantae; Streptophyta; Magnoliopsida; Solanales; Solanaceae.